RNAcentral lists this ribosomal RNA (612 nucleotides) under Cicindela (Rivacindela) sp. JP-27. RNAcentral describes it as "partial 16S ribosomal RNA". It matches the Rfam family "Bacterial large subunit ribosomal RNA", at positions 1844 to 2739 of the family's 2925-position model. RNAcentral also lists the same sequence under 1 other name. The record is from RNAcentral. Lineage: Eukaryota; Metazoa; Arthropoda; Insecta; Coleoptera; Carabidae.
UUUAAGGUCUAACCUGCCCAAUGAGGAUUUAAAUGGCCGCAGUAUUUUGACUGUGCAAAGGUAGCAUAAUUAUUAGUUUUUUAAUUGAAAGCUUGUAUGAAGGGUUGGACGAGAUGAAAUCUGUCUUUAUUUAAAUUAAAAUAUAAUUUAACUUUUAAGUAAAAAGGCUUAAAUGUUUAUAAAAGACGAGAAGACCCUAUAGAUCUUUAUUUAAUUAAAAUUUUAAUAAUUUAGGAUUAUUUUAAUUUAAAGUUUUAAUUAAAUUUUAUUGGGGUAAUAUAAAGAUUAAAUAAAUUCUUUUUAUUUAUAACAUUGAUUUAUGAAUAUGUGAUCCAUUAAUAUUGAUUAUAAGAUUAAGUUACCUUAGGGAUAACAGCGUAAUUUUUUUGGAGAGCUCAUAUCGAUAAAAAAGUUUGCGACCUCGAUGUUGGAUUAAAAAUUAGCUUGGGUGCAGAAGCUCAAGAUUUUGGUCUGUUCGACCAUUAAAUUUUUACAUGAUCUGAGUUCAGACCGGCGUGAGCCAGGUCGGUUUCUAUCUUUAUUAAGAUAAAAUGUUUUAGUACGAAAGGACCAAAUAUUUAAUAUAAUUAUAUUUAUUUUUUGAAGAAUAUU